CAGUCGAUCGGUAACGCGGGGGCAACCCUGGCGACGAGAGGCGGACGGGUGAGGAACGCUUGGGAAUCUGCCUAUCAGCGGGGGACAACACGGGGAAACUCGUGCUAAUACCGCAUACGCUCUACGGAGGAAAGCCGGGGACCGCAAGGCCUGGCACUGAUAGAUGAGCCCAAGUCGGAUUAGCUAGUUGGCGGGGUAACGGCCCACCAAGGCGACGAUCCGUAGCUGGUCUGAGAGGACGAUCAGCCACACUGGAACUGAGACACGGUCCAGACUCCUACGGGAGGCAGCAGUGGGGAAUAUUGGACAAUGGGGGAAACCCUGAUCCAGCGACGCCGCGUGGGUGAAGAAGGCCUGCGGGUUGUAAAGCCCUUUCGGUAGGGACGAAAGCUCUCGACCUAACACGUCGGGAGGUUGACUUAACCUACAAAAGAAGCACCGGCUAACUCUGUGCCAGCAGCCGCGGUAAUACAGAGGGUGCGAGCGUUAAUCGGAAUUACUGGGCGUAAAGCGCACGUAGGCGGCUUGGUAUGUCGGGUGUGAAAUCCCCGGGCUCAACCUGGGAACUGCAUCCGAAACUGCCUUGCUCGAGUAUGGGAGAGGGAAGUGGAAUUUCCGGUGUAGCGGUGAAAUGCGUAGAUAUCGGAAGGAACAUCAGUGGCGAAGGCGACUUCCUGGACCAAUACUGACGCUCAGGUGC
This 700-nucleotide ribosomal RNA is filed under the name uncultured bacterium. Its description in RNAcentral is "bacterial SSU rRNA". It matches the Rfam family "Bacterial small subunit ribosomal RNA", at positions 59 to 754 of the family's 1533-position model. The record is from RNAcentral.